AUGUCAAGUCAUAACCUUAUCAUUUUUAAGUCCAAACACACGUGAUAAGGUUCCCUGAUACCAUCAAUACAAUACGUUCCCCUCCUUGAUUCUUGAGAUUGGCACAAAACUGUUUCUGAAAUUUGAUUGCAUUGGAGCAACUCUUACAGAUUAUUUGCAAAAAUUCCCACCAACCAUGUGAACUAAUAAUAACUACAUAAAAAAGCCUAGCCUUUUACUCUUGGUGUUACAUGAGAAGGAAUUCUUAGGCACAUGAUUUUCGUAACUGUUUCAAUAGAAUUAGUGUUGCAGGUCACUUACAAAUAUUCCUACUCUUUCACCUUAAAGAAUGUAUAGGAAAGAACAAUAUUGUUCACCCCGUCCAUUUUGGGGUCCGUCUCAAACUCAGGAUCAAUGUAGAAGAAUACCUGAAAGAGAAAAAUUUUGUGUUUAACAUAAACUUCUCAGAAAGAGAAUAAAGAUCUCUUAAAAGAGUUUAGAGCUGGUCGAAAUCCGAGCUCGCCAAGGUAGGCCCCAAGGGGUUUAAAAGAUGGAUUGCAGUAAAUGGAUUUUACUCGCAAUUUUUAUGUGUAAUGAUUCUAUGUAUCCAAGUACUUUACAUCAUUAAUGCUUAGAUCCGCAUUGUACAAAACUUUGUUUGACCGACCAUCGGCUUCAACCUACUCGGCAGUAGCUGCGGAGUGUUUGUCCUACUUUAUAAAGCCGUUAUAAGGGAGAAGAUUUAUGAAAAACAAGGCAAUCCGGCCAUAUGGUUUUAUAAACAAAGGUACACAGAGAGAUAUGUUAUAUUACGUGUUAACGUAAGAAACAUCUUUCAAAGAAAAUAGUCUCGCUAUCGGUUCCUUUGGGUCGUCAUGCUUAUCAUGAUCAUGAAAACUCACCUCCGAUCAAUGUGGGAGGAAAAUAUUGAGGAUUUAGUUCAGGGAAAGUUCCCGAACUCUAUGAUAUUAAUGAACCCAAAUUUUCACUUCCGUCGUUGCCGACCAAUGUGAUCCUUUAAGAUUGCUAGCUUUCGGCUUUACCCAGUCUGAGGUACUAACUCGGAUGACCCGGUAGUAACAAUCACAGAGGUGCUCCCUUUACCACCUAGCCGAACAAUCGGGAACGUAGGGGUAAGCACAGGAGCCAGGCAACCCAGCUUGGCCAAAAUCUCAAGUCAAAUUGAUGCAUAUGUAUGGCUUUAUAACGAUGAUUACGGAAGGCGGCCCUCGUAUAUUAAAUACAAACGCCGAUGAUAUGUCUAUUUUGACUCUGUUGCGACCGUUUAUCAUUUGAAAGUGGCCCAUCGUCGGCUUCCGCCCCUUUGUAGAUGCUACGCAGGGUGUUUUCGCAAUAACAAAACAACCCUUAGCCGACGUCUCGGUGCCCGGAGGCAGCUGUUUUAGUGGAAACGAGGCAAUCAGAUAUGCGGGCUUUAUAACUUUCACUUAGUCAUAGGAGCUUUAAACUGGGGAAGCUAGCUAUGAGCCCCCGGUUAGUGUUCGGCGACAGCCGAGGUCAAGCCGUAAACACUUCGGCCAAUGUUACAAAUGGCCCGUCAUUUAACAUAGUCAUCGGAUCGCUGACCAGUUUACGCUUAUUGUGACAGUCAGUUUUCGGCUUUCUCCACUGAGGUGCUUAACCAUGCGAGCUGGAAGCACAAUCGCAGUGGUUCUCCCUUUGCACACCUAGCCGAACAAAGCGGAACAUAGGAGGGAAGCACAGGAGCCGGGCAACCUAACUAUUGACCGAAGACACAAUUCAAAACCGAUGCAUAUAUAGCAAUAUCCGAGAAUGUUUUCGCCGAAUCUCUAAAGGUGUCCGGCGUUGCACUGCGAGACUUAUGCGGGAAACACACAAAUAGUUUAAAAGUGUCAUAGGCUUGGAAAACCCAACAAUUUAGUAAAAACUUGACAUCCCAAUUAGAUCAAGUGUUCGGUGCCAAUCCGAAAAUUGGUCUUAGGAAAAAAAAAGGUGCUUCUGUCGUGCAUUAAUAUGACACAUCCGAUCUCAAGACCUCAAGCGGGUCAGCCCAAGGCUGUAACCUACUAUCCCGAAGGCGGAGUACUGCUCGUUAGGCCAGUUUAGCGAACUAAACUCGAACGGCUUUGAGAGAGAGACUAGGCUCCCCGGCUAUUGACCACACACUCGCGUCGAAAAAAGAAGUGAUAGAAAAAGAUUUUGCAAUGACCAAGAAAAAAACAUUUAUUAUAAAAUGGCUCAUACUAAUUUAAGAGCCCCCGAGUGACUUGGGCAAAAGAAUUUUAUGUAUAAUGAUUGUAUGUAUGGAAGUACUUAUAUCAUAUCUGUGUUCACCCAAACUUUAAACGCGUCUUAACCGACCGUCGGCUUCUCCCUCUUCGGUCAAGGACCGAAAAGUGUUAUGUACUCCACCUGUCGAGAAUAUCGACGGUGUUUCUGAUAACCAGGCAAUCAGGCCAUAAGGCUGUAACAGACAAAGCGCGCUCAGGGAACUUAUGCUAUAUUACUGACGAAGUGUAAGAAGCAUCUUCGAAGAAAAUAGUACCUCCACCGAUACCUUUCUUCAGUUGCUCAUUGUUACUAUGAGACUUGUGCAAUAGAUUUUUUGUACUCAUGAGUUCCGUUGUGUGCCGACCAUAAUUGAAAACAAUAAGAGCGCUAGUUUUCGGCUUCACCCAGUCUGAGGUCCGAGCUCGGAUGACCCGGUCGUGACAAUCGCAGAGGUGCUCCCUUUAUUCCCUAGCCAAACAAUCGGNNNNNNNNNNNNNNNNNNNNNNNNNNNNNNNNNNNNNNNNNNNNNNNNNNNNNNNNNNNNNNNNNNNNNNNNNNNNNNNNNNNNNNNNNNNNNNNNNNNNUUUACUUACUUUGUCCCGAUGUGCUUAUGGGUCACAUCACUGGCUGCCGCUCUCCGGAACCAUGCAGAGGGAGACCUGGCACUUGGGUGCAUCGCACCGGGAGACGCCCAAGUCUGAAGCCUCUGACUGGCCACCUUCCCCCAGCAGACCAGCCGAGUGAACAUCACACAAUCAUCAUAGCGCCGCACCGUCACGAACUUGGCCCAGACUCACCUCAGCACUUGCACUGCACUGCGCGCAUCAUCCAAACGAGUACCUGCGUACCCGGGCGCCCCGGUAAAGAUGACUGCCGCGCCGCACGGCAUGAGGUGGUACGUUCGUACGUGCGCCACGGCCGCCGUACGCAGCGAGCAGCGACUGUCUCCUGCGCCGCGCAGCAGCAACACGAUCGCAUGCAAUGCAACCGAACUGAUGCAGUGCUGCUGCAAAAGCCGGCGCACUCCUGCCGCCGCUAGCCGCCGAGGCCGAGGCGAGGCGCCUAGCAGCAGAUAUGGGCCGUGGAUGUCGUAGCAUAUGCUGGUGUCAGCGUCGGAGCUCGCAGCCUCCGUGGACGGGGGUGGAUUCGGUGGCGCUCGCCGGUCCCGGCGCCGUAUCCAGGCCCGGGGCCGGGGCCACGGCGAGGCGAUCCGCACGGCGGAUUCGCUCGCUGGCGCGACGCGGGGUCGCGGCCAAACAGUACCGCCGGUACAAGAAAAAUAUACUCCCAGCAGUGCCCUCCACUCGACGUGCGACAGCAGCUCAACAGCCGCAGCAGGGUGCCUGCCCUGGCCUCGUCUCUUCUCCCGUAGCCGCGGGGGCGGGGCCAAUCGAAUCCCGCAAUGCACAGGGCUGCCGGCUACCGUCCGAAAGACCUGUACCGUUCCCAUACGAUUCGAUUCGACCGAUCUUUCAUGUGAUCUUCUCUCCUCUUAAGCACUCAUGUCGCGACACACACAGGCACGUACUCCUAGCUGGUGAUACAUACAGUACAUCCCACGCCAGCAUGUUUGGCCACCAAGGCACCAACGGGAAUUCUACGUGGAAAUUAAACAGUACUACUCCCUUUGUCCCGAAUUACUUGGCGCGAAAAUGGAUAAAAAUGGAUGUAUUUAGAACUAAAAACUUGUCGAGAUACAUCCAUUUCUGCAACAAGCAAUUCCAGACGGAGGGAGUAUUUUUUUUUCUUUCAAUCUGCAUCCAGGAGCUACGUGCUUGUACGUACCAAUGGUCUUUCUUGGCAAGACUUGAGGGUUGAGAGGAAUGUCAAGUCAUAACCUUAUCAUUUUUAAGUCCAAACACACGUGAUAAGGUUCCCUGAUACCAUCAAUACAAUACGUUCCCCUCCUUGAUUCUUGAGAUUGGCACAAAACUGUUUCUGAAAUUUGAUUGCAUUGGAGCAACUCUUACAGAUUAUUUGCAAAAAUUCCCACCAACCAUGUGAACUAAUAAUAACUACAUAAAAAAGCCUAGCCUUUUACUCUUGGUGUUACAUGAGAAGGAAUUCUUAGGCACAUGAUUUUCGUAACUGUUUCAAUAGAAUUAGUGUUGCAGGUCACUUACAAAUAUUCCUACUCUUUCACCUUAAAGAAUGUAUAGGAAAGAACAAUAUUGUUCACCCCGUCCAUUUUGGGGUCCGUCUCAAACUCAGGAUCAAUGUAGAAGAAUACC
This 4463-nucleotide long non-coding RNA is filed under the name Triticum aestivum (bread wheat). RNAcentral describes it as "long non-coding RNA (TAES_LNC004052)". The stretch from base 3848 to 3973 matches the Rfam family "MIR1120/MIR1122 microRNA precursor family". The record is from RNAcentral. Lineage: Eukaryota; Viridiplantae; Streptophyta; Magnoliopsida; Poales; Poaceae.